GAGUUUGAUCUUGGCUCAGAUUGAACGCUGGCGGCAGGCCUAACACAUGCAAGUCGAGCGGAUGACGGGAGCUUGCUCCUUGAUUCAGCGGCGGACGGGUGAGUAAUGCCUAGGAAUCUGCCUGGUAGUGGGGGACAACGUUUCGAAAGGAACGCUAAUACCGCAUACGUCCUACGGGAGAAAGCAGGGGACCUUCGGGCCUUGCGCUAUCAGAUGAGCCUAGGUCGGAUUAGCUAGUUGGUGGGGUAAUGGCUCACCAAGGCGACGAUCCGUAACUGGUCUGAGAGGAUGAUCAGUCACACUGGAACUGAGACACGGUCCAGACUCCUACGGGAGGCAGCAGUGGGGAAUAUUGGACAAUGGGCGAAAGCCUGAUCCAGCCAUGCCGCGUGUGUGAAGAAGGUCUUCGGAUUGUAAAGCACUUUAAGUUGGGAGGAAGGGCAGUAAGUUAAUACCUUGCUGUUUUGACGUUACCGACAGAAUAAGCACCGGCUAACUCUGUGCCAGCCGCCG
This 513-nucleotide ribosomal RNA is filed under the name bacterium enrichment culture clone ALO1_GLFRUDD03F37UN. Its description in RNAcentral is "bacterial SSU rRNA". It matches the Rfam family "Bacterial small subunit ribosomal RNA", at positions 9 to 517 of the family's 1533-position model. RNAcentral also lists the same sequence under 13 other names. The record is from RNAcentral.